This 520-nucleotide ribosomal RNA is filed under the name uncultured Glomus. RNAcentral describes it as "SSU rRNA". It matches the Rfam family "Eukaryotic small subunit ribosomal RNA", at positions 569 to 1092 of the family's 1831-position model. The record is from RNAcentral. Lineage: Eukaryota; Fungi; Glomeromycota; Glomeromycetes; Glomerales; Glomeraceae.
AGCAGCCGCGGUAAUUCCAGCUCCAAUAGCGUAUAUUAAAGUUGUUGCAGUUAAAAAGCUCGUAGUUGAAUUUCGGGAUCAGUUGGUCGGUCGUGCCUCGGUACGUACUGGUCAAAUUGAUUCCUACCUUCUGACGAACCACGAUGUCAUUAAUUUGGUGUCGUGGGAAAUCAGGACUGUUACUUUGAAAAAAUUAGAGUGUUUAAAGCAGGCUCGCGCUUGAAUACAUUAGCAUGGAAUAAUGAAAUAGGACGUUUGAUUCUAUUUUGUUGGUUUCUAGGAUCGACGUAAUGAUUAAUAGGGAUAGUUGGGGGCAUUAGUAUUCAAUUGUCAGAGGUGAAAUUCUUGGAUUUACUGAAGACUAACUACUGCGAAAGCAUUUGCCAAGGAUGUUUUCAUUAAUCAAGAACGAAAGUUAGGGGAUCGAAGACGAUCAGAUACCGUCGUAGUCUUAACCAUAAACUAUGCCGACUAGGGAUCGGAUGAUGUUAAUUUUUAAUGACUCAUUCGGCGCCUUACG